AGAUUGAACGCUGGCGGCAUGCCUAACACAUGCAAGUCGAACGGGAGUAGCAAUACUCUAGUGGCGGACGGGUGAGGAAUACGUAGGAAUUUGCCCUUAAGUGGGGGAUAACCCGGGGAAGCCCGGAUUAAUACCGCAUGACCUCGAAAGAGCAAAGUGGGGGAUCGCAAGACCUCACGCUUUUGGAGAAGCCUACGUCGGAUUAGCUAGUUGGUGAGGUAAUGGCUCACCAAGGCGACGAUCCGUAACUGGUCUGAGAGGAUGAUCAGUCACACCGGAACUGAGACACGGUCCGGACUCCGUACGGGAGCAGCAGUGGGGAAUAGUGGACAAUGGGCGCAAGCCUAGAUCCAGCAAUGCCGCGUGUGUGAAGAAGGCCUUCGGUUAGUAAAGCUACUUUAAGUUAGGGAAGAAAAAACGUCGACUACUAACAC
Molecule: ribosomal RNA, 434 nt
Filed under: uncultured soil bacterium
Lineage: Bacteria
Description: bacterial SSU rRNA
Rfam family: Bacterial small subunit ribosomal RNA
Source: RNAcentral